UACAGAGGUCGUCAAGCGUUGUUUCGGAUUCAUUGGGCGUAAAGGGGUGCGUAGGUGGCGCCGGUAAGUUCGGGUGUGGAAAUUUCGGAGCUUAACUCCGAAACUGCAUUCGAUACUGCGGUGCUUGAGGACUGGAGAGGAGACUGGAAUUCAUGGUGUAGCAGUGAAAUGCGUAGAGAUCAUGAGGAAGACCAGUGGCGAAGGCGGCCAACUGGGCCGACCCUGACGCUGAGGCACGAAAGCGUGGGGAGCAAACAGG
Molecule: ribosomal RNA, 259 nt
Filed under: uncultured bacterium
Lineage: Bacteria
Description: partial 16S ribosomal RNA
Rfam family: Bacterial small subunit ribosomal RNA
Source: RNAcentral